UUUGGAGUGGUGCCGUUUGAUGAGCUGU
Molecule: non-coding RNA, 28 nt
Filed under: Mus musculus (house mouse)
Lineage: Eukaryota; Metazoa; Chordata; Mammalia; Rodentia; Muridae
Source: RNAcentral